AUCAUAUGAUGGUUGCAUGGUUUAGCAAUCAAAUCAUAAAAAGAUUUACCAUUUGUCUGAUGUAUCU
This is a small nucleolar RNA of Nycticebus coucang (slow loris), 67 nucleotides long. RefSeq annotates it as small nucleolar RNA SNORD77. The transcript has a single exon. The record is from RefSeq and is a predicted model, not a curated record. Lineage: Eukaryota; Metazoa; Chordata; Mammalia; Primates; Lorisidae.